UACGGAGGAUGCGAGCGUUAUCCGGAUUUAUUGGGUUUAAAGGGUGCGUAGGCGGCGAGUUAAGUCAGCGGUAAAAGCCCGGGGCUCAACCCCGGCCCGCCGUUGAAGCUGGCUGGCUUGAGUUGGGGAAAGGCAGGCGGAAUGCGCGGUGUAGCGGUGAAAUGCAUAGAUAUCGCGCAGAACCCCGAUUGCGAAGGCAGCCUGCCGGCCCCACACUGACGCUGAGGCACGAAAGCGUGGGUAUCGAACAGG
RNAcentral lists this ribosomal RNA (252 nucleotides) under uncultured bacterium. RNAcentral's name for it is "partial 16S ribosomal RNA". It matches the Rfam family "Bacterial small subunit ribosomal RNA", at positions 524 to 776 of the family's 1533-position model. The record is from RNAcentral.